Long non-coding RNA from Bradysia coprophila, 122 nucleotides. Lineage: Eukaryota; Metazoa; Arthropoda; Insecta; Diptera; Sciaridae. The record is from RefSeq and is a predicted model, not a curated record.
AAGCAGAUUUUUGUAAUUAUGGAAGUGUUAAGCCCAAUUCAGAGUCGUCCGUUUAGUUCAUCCGUGUACUUGACAGAUGUGAUCAAACAAUAGAAUGUAGGCGGAGUUUCCAUAAACGGAUG